GCUGCGAAGCAAUCGGAAGUGGUUCCAAGAAAAGCCUCUAAGCUUCAGUCAUACGAGACCGUACCGCAAACCGACACAGGUGGGCGAGAUGAGUAUUCUAAGGCGCUUGAGAGAACUCGGGAGAAGGAACUCGGCAAAUUGGUACCGUAACUUCGGGAUAAGGUACGCCCUGGUAGCUUGACUGGCCUGCGCCAGAAGGGUGAAGGGGUUGCAAUAAAAUGGUGGCUGCGACUGUUUAAUAAAAACACAGCACUCUGCAAACACGAAAGUGGACGUAUAGGGUGUGACGCCUGCCCGGUGCCGGAAGAUUAAAUGAUGGGGUGCAAGCUCUUGAUUGAAGUCCCGGUAAACGGCGGCCGUAACUAUAACGGUCCUAAGGUAGCGAAAUUCCUUGUCGGGUAAGUUCCGACCUGCACGAAUGGCGUAACGAUGGCCACACUGUCUCCUCCCGAGACUCAGCGAAGUUGAAGUGUUUGUGAUGAUGCAAUCUCCCCGCGGCUAGACGGAAAGACCCCAUGAACCUUUACUGUAGCUUUGCAUUGGACUUUGAACCGAUCUGUGUAGGAUAGGUGGGAGGCUUUGAAGCGUGGACGCUAGUUCACGUGGAGCCGUCCUUGAAAUACCACCCUGGUUUGUUUGAGGUUCUAACCUUGGCCCGUGAAUCCGGGUCGGGGACAGUGCAUGGUAGGCAGUUUGACUGGGGCGGUCUCCUCCCAAAGUGUAACGGAGGAGUUCGAAGGUACGCUUGGUACGGUCGGACAUCGUACCUAAAGUGCAAUGGCAAAAGCGUGCUUAACUGCGAGACCGACAAGUCGAGCAGGUGCGAAAGCAGGACAUAGUGAUCCGGUGGUUCUGAAUGGAAGGGCCAUCGCUCAACGGAUAAAAGGUACUCUGGGGAUAACAGGCUGAUACCGCCCAAGAGUUCAUAUCGACGGCGGUGUUUGGCACCUCGAUGUCGGCUCAUCUCAUCCUGGGGCUGUAGCCGGUCCCAAGGGUAUGGCUGUUCGCCAUUUAAAGAGGUACGUGAGCUGGGUUUAAAACGUCGUGAGACAGUUUGGUCCCUAUCUGCCGUGGGCGUUGGAAUCUUGACGGGGGCUGCUCCUAGUACGAGAGGACCGGAGUGGACGUACCGCUGGUGUACCUGUUGUCUCGCCAGAGGCAUCGCAGGGUAGCUAUGUACGGAAGAGAUAACCGCUGAAAGCAUCUAAGCGGGAAACUCGCCUGAAGAUGAGGAUUCCCUGGAGGCUUGACCUCCUUGAAGGGUCGUUCGAGACCAGGACGUUGAUAGGCUGGGUGUGGAAGCGCAGUAAUGCGUUAAGCUAACCAGUACUAAUUGCCCGUAAGGCUUGAUCCU
Molecule: ribosomal RNA, 1354 nt
Filed under: Cupriavidus phytohabitans
Lineage: Bacteria; Pseudomonadati; Pseudomonadota; Betaproteobacteria; Burkholderiales; Burkholderiaceae
Description: Cupriavidus sp. AcVe19-1a partial 23S ribosomal RNA
Rfam family: Bacterial large subunit ribosomal RNA
Source: RNAcentral